Molecule: long non-coding RNA, 3461 nt
Organism: Alligator mississippiensis (American alligator)
Lineage: Eukaryota; Metazoa; Chordata; Crocodylia; Alligatoridae
Exons: 2
Source: RefSeq, a predicted model, not a curated record
ACACCCGGGGGGGUCCGCGCGGGGCGGGUGGGGCCCUGUGGGGCCGGGGUGGCGGGGGCCUCGCUUCGUGUCCGACUGGCUCUGCGGGGGCGGCACCUGCCGAGCCUCCCGGGGGUGUCGGGGCGACCCCCCCCCAGCACCUGCCGGGCGCUCCCACUAGGGGCUGUGGGGGCAGGACGGACCGCCCGCCACUGCCGGGCUUGCGGCAGGUGCUCCCGCCCCCUCCCGGCCGAAGCGCUUCGGCUGCCUCCGCCUCCGUCCGUCGACUUCCGCGCUGCCGCAUCCGGGCCCUGGCGGCGGCGGAGGGUCCGCCGGGGUGACGUCACUGGGGAGCCUCUGGCUGGUGGAGCCCCCGACUGCCCACGUGACGGGGGGUUGGCGCUGCACGCGAAGACCCGACCCGGCCCGGCCCCAUGCGGACGCCGGAACUGGCUGGAGCCGGGUUCAUGCGGCUCCUCGUGCAGCCCCCCCUCUGAGCCCCCUGCAGCUGCUCCAGCGCUGGGGGAGAUACAGUAGGAACAGACCUGCAAUGAUAGGCUCUAGGAGGUACACAAGUCCCAGCCAUCCUGUCCACGGUGUAGGCCUGAAAGGAAGGGCACCUGAUCUGGUUUCCUCAUAAAGAGACUAGAUAUGCAGGUUAGAAAUGAAGACAUAACCCACUUAGAAGCCAGGAAACGUUUUUAGUCCAUUUCUGAGUUGCAAAGGAUUCUUGAGCUGGAGCUGAUGUAGGUUUAUGGACAUAAUGGCAAAUGACACAGCUCUUAACCAAACCCUGUCAGUCUUACAGUGCUUGAGGAGAGGAGCUAUUUAAUGUUGCUAGAUAAAAGGGGUAGGGGAAAAUCUUACUUGUAUUUGAACUAUACCUCUGGGCUCCCUAGAAAUGUAGGGAUUUUCACUGGAACCAGUACAGGUUGGCUAAUUGCAGUGGCAAGCAAAUAUGCCACUAACACGGUGUGACCAUCUUGUAUGAGCUGCUUCUUUAUAUUUUUAUUAACUGAAGAGUAACCAUGGUGGUGUGGCUCUCCUGGACUCCUUGCCAAAACAGCUAAAGGAAGCUCCUCUGCCAUAUUUGGGUGUUUCAAAGCAGGAGAAUGAAUCCUUUGCUGCCUUCUGGUAGUCCCUGUAGGCAUAUAAUGUUGUCUGCAUGUGAACAGGGCUCCCUUGAAUCUAGAGUUUGGAUUUUAUCCUUUGCUAGAUCUAAGGCAAGGGGAAAACAAGUGCAUUUUCUAUCAGUGGUGAAUGCUAGAUGUCUGUGAUAGACACUGGAUUAAAUCAAGAGCUAAUAGACAAAAGUCCAGCUUUUGCAGGUUAAAAUAUAUGAAAAUAGCUCUUAGCUAGCCUGCUACACCAGCAGAAAUGGACCAACCUUAAUGCAUCACUUGUAGGUGGAGACGGCCUCUGAAUACUAGAAAAAUGUAAAACUGAAGUCUUCCCAGUGGACCUUUAGGGGAGAUGUGCAUUUUAUUUUUAACUCUUUCAGGUCUAAUGCCAAGUCAUGGUCACUGUUUAAGGUGAAUAGAACUAUUGGCCUCCUGAUGGAGAAAUAGUUUGUUGGCUCUAGUUUUGACACCCUUUUAGCAUUGGUGGUUUGGUUUGAGCUUGACACCAUUGAAACUGAGCAAAGAUGCCUAGUGAUUUUUUUUUUUCUUUUUUAGAGCUGAAAGCAACAUAAUGAGGUUGCAUAGUUCUAACUUCUGAAGAAAUCAGAGGUGCAGAUGAAGAUGGUGAACCUUUGGAAAUAGUAAUGUAGAAGUCUAUCAUCCUACACUAAUUCCAGAACUCUGGAGAACAGCCAAGUCAUGCUCCAUCAGAUGAGGUGAAGAAUUGAGCCCUUUAGACUGCUUAAAGGAACAGAAGCAGAAGAGAAGAUUCUACAAACUGAAUUGAUUGAAGGUGGUGGUUGCAUUUACUUGAGCAGGUGUUGACUAACCUUUCUGCUCCCCUCCAACUCAAAGAAAUGCCCUCAGUGUUUCAGUUGGUCCCCACUUUGGAAGAGUGGGUAUUACCAGAACUUGAGGAAGAACCAUGAAGCAAUGACUUGAGCUCAGCUUCUUCAAAUUGCAGUUUAUGAAGGAGAUGGGGAGGGAAAAAUGGAGGAUAUGUUCUUCCCUACUCAAACCAUGUCUAACCUGACUUGCUUAUAUUAAGCACUGUCUUCAUGAAGAACAAGGACCAAAAGUCCUUGGUUGUCUUGCAUUUCAUGGCUGUAAUGGCUUAAAUCUAAAGCAGUGACUCUCAACCUGGGUGAUGGAAAAAUAUUUUUAAGGGUGGUGCACAGCAUUAUCAUUCUGUCAACUGUGUAAUGCUAAACCCAGAAGUUUUUUAAAUGGGAACCAUUAGUGUCAAAAACAAAGACUGCAGCAGGUCAAAAUGUUUUGGGUGGCUUUUUUUUUUUUUGUUUGCAAUGAAAAAACUUAUCACUUCCGUACUAAAAAAAAGAAGUGAAAGCAAAGAAGUAGUUUUCCUGCAGGAGUCUAGUGAGGUUAAGAAUCAUUACUCGGAGUAAGAAUUGAAGAGUUCCUCUGUAAUUCUUGGUCUCAGUACAACAUUGAGACCAAUAAUGGAAGCUUAGCUCAGAAUUUUUUUCACUCUAAAGACGAGCAAUAUAAAUAUGCAAUUUGAAGUUGCUAUACAUCAAAAAAGGUUUGGGGACCUUAUUAGUUAUCACAUAAUCUGAGGAGGCUGGGUUGCAUUUACUUAAUCUUGUAAUAAGCAUACCAGUACAGAACAAACGGGUCUUUCUAUCUCAUUCUCUAGAGGCCUGGAUUCUGACUAGCUAUUUGGAAAUUGCUCAGGGCUGUGUGAGCACUAUAAUGUAUAGUAUUGUACAAUAUUUCAAUUGCUGCACAAACCAGUUGCUGCAAAAUAAGCCAGGCUCUGAUUCUUCCGCUUGCUAGUUAUUCAGUGGAAAUUUGUAUAUAUGCUAUAGUAAAUGCAGUGUAAGUUACCUUGCAUUUAUUGAGGAAUUGGCUACCACAUGGUUACUAGCAGAUGGUAGUUAAUGCAGUGUAGAGCUUCACCAUGCUCUUUGCUAGCUGAGUGUGGCUGCCACUUCUGUUACUGACAUUAGGGGUUUUGUCUUUUGGUUUGUUUUAUUUUUUUUUUUUUUAAACUUUAUUACCUUGGUCAUAGGUGACCUGUUAUUGAGUGUGCAGGUUUUAAUACCUCUUUGGUCUGCAAUGCUAUGUACCACAUCUAACUGGAGAUCUAACAUUGCAGUGUCUUCUGACAACACUUGUUUGAAUGUUUAAUUGAGUUAAAGCAAAGCAGACUUGGAGGCAAAGAGCUAAAAAUCAAUUUGGGUAGGCAGUGUCUUUAAGAUACUGCAUAAAGAAUUGUUCAGUGUCUGUUACAUUACCUCUGAGUUAGACUCCCUAACUUGAGUAAGCUGUAUGUACUAUCUGUUUCUUGGUCAGCUCAUAUUUCAGAGCCCUCUGUUUCUAGUAAACAUGUUUGAGAUA